This 428-nucleotide ribosomal RNA is filed under the name uncultured prokaryote. Its description in RNAcentral is "bacterial SSU rRNA". It matches the Rfam family "Bacterial small subunit ribosomal RNA", at positions 355 to 774 of the family's 1533-position model. The record is from RNAcentral.
UGAGGAAUUUUGCGCAAUGGGGGAAACCCUGACGCAGCAACGCCGCGUGGGCGAUGAAGGCCUUCGGGUCGUAAAGCCCUGUCAGGUGGGAAGAAUGUCCCGGGACUGAACAGGUUCCGGGAGUGACGGUACCACCAGAGGAAGCACCGGCUAACUCCGUGCCAGCAGCCGCGGUAAUACGGAGGGUGCGAGCGUUAUUCGGAAUUACUGGGCGUAAAGCGCGUGUAGGCGGUCCUGCAAGUCUGAUGUGAAAGCCCCGGGCUUAACCCGGGAAGUGCAUUGGAAACUGUGGGACUUGAGUACUGGAGAGGAUGGGGGAAUUCCCGGUGUAGAGGUGAAAUUCGUAGAGAUCGGGAGGAAUAUCAGUGGCGAAGGCGCCCAUCUGGACGGUAACUGACGCUGAGACGCGAAAGCGUGGGGAGCAAACA